Scaptodrosophila lebanonensis is the source of this 514-nucleotide long non-coding RNA. RefSeq lists it as uncharacterized. NCBI's taxonomy places the organism in Eukaryota, Metazoa, Arthropoda, Insecta, Diptera, Drosophilidae. The transcript has 2 exons. The record is from RefSeq and is a predicted model, not a curated record.
UUGUCGAAAGCUGAACAAAAUUCCUAUCACUUUAAAUUAACCGAAAAAUUUCUGGUUUAUCUUUAGUUUCCAAGUACCAAUAAAAAUGAAUUCUGAACGUUCACAGCAAAGCCUAUCGAAGCCGGUUCUAAUCAAAGUAGUUAGCAAGGAGCAAAGGUCCGUGGGCGUACAGUUUCCUUCGGUCCCGAUCAUAAAGAAGUGUAGCUAAAACGGAAAUCCGGAAGAGCUUAGACCUCAAGCCGUCACAUCAUACAAUAAGACGAAGCAUUGUUUACAUUCUUUAUAAUGAUGGGGUGGGAAGAGGUAACACAGUUCAACUGCUUUAUCCAGUCUGUAGAGCAAAUUGAAGGCCCAGGCGAAGGAGCUGGACACCGAUUAGAUGAAGUGAUCUAAGAAGACAGCUUCAUGAUCUAAAUAGCGUCUAUACACAAACAUAAUUCCCAAAUUGUUGUGCUAUAACAUUUGUAUACAUCUGGAUAUCUAAUUAUUAAAACAAUUUCUGAUUGAAACGUUA